AACAGCAUUUGAGUUGCUUGUCAUGUGCUCGCCGCUUUUCUGUAAGAUUGUUGCUGUUAUAUUAUUAGUACUACUAGCGGCAUUUUGCUGCGCUGAAAUCGUCAUAGAUGCGCAAAGACAUCUCAAAUAUUCAGCGCAAAGCACAUUAAUUAUUUCAAUAGUUUUCACAUCAUUUUUUGUAGUUUUUAUUACUUUCUAUGGUAUAUUUGUUGCGCUAUCGCAAUAUAUAGUGAAGCUUAUAGUGCUAGCUGCUGUAGUUUGUAUCUACUGCUUUGCUAAGGGCGCGCUUUGGAUGUUCUUGAGCACUGAAGCAAGCACUUGGUUUGUAGUAACUUUUAGCUUUUCAGUUGUCAACACAUUUGUCUUAUUCAGUUUGGUUAUAGCACGAGCUCAAGCCUUCGAGGCUGCGCAACAAGCAUAAAUGUGCUUUUUACCCAUUACAGUGCUUAAGAUCAAUGUGUUUAGCUUUGGUCUGGCAACUAUGAUCUUAAGCAGCGUGGAUUCCUAUUUUGUGCUGGAUAAUAUAGACAAAGCUGCGCAUUAUCUACAAAUUGCAAUGUAUGCCUCAGUAGCUUUAAAUUGCUUUGCAAAAGUUGC
Molecule: long non-coding RNA, 597 nt
Organism: Drosophila busckii
Lineage: Eukaryota; Metazoa; Arthropoda; Insecta; Diptera; Drosophilidae
Exons: 5
Source: RefSeq, a predicted model, not a curated record